UCCUGUCUUAAGCAUUUAUGAACCGCCGCCAGUGUUUUCACCCUUCUCAUCUGCUGUACUCGCAGCAGAUCCAACACGGAAGACACCACAAGCAAGAAACCUCACAGCACGAACAGAGACACAAACUGACAAAUACACAGAUAAGAGUAUUGAGGGUGGAAGAGAGUGUCCUACAUUGACUCCCCCCACGACACUUCCUGGAGGACCUGAGACUCGAAACUCACAACCUUCGGGUUACAAGUCCGACUCUCUAUGUAUUUGGCCACGGCUGAUUGAGCGAGAGUGUGUGAGUGUAUAUGAGUAUAAAUGAGUGAGUGUGUGUGUGGUUGAGAGUGAGUGUGGGCUCCAGGCUGGUGAUUGGGCACUGCUCUGGGCCGCUCUACUCUGUCGGGUGAUUGGGUUAUAGAUGGGCGUCUGCAGCACAUGGUUCAGUCCCGUGAGUCCCGUGAGAGAAGAGAGAGAAGCAGAUGAACAGCUUAGAUGUGUGUUGGAUGUGCUGUGUUUUUCUUUCUGUAUUUUCUUUAGAAUGCUACUGUAUUUUCUACUGUAAAGCACUUUAGAUUAGCUUCUGUUGUGCUCUAAAAAUAAUCUCAUCUCAUAUCAUGUUUUCUAGGUUCGCAGAUGCAUUAGCUCUCUUUUAUUAAUUUGUUCAAAAACACAGACACACACACCUGCAGGAACUCACAUGCACACACACACACACACACACACACACACAAACACACACACACAUACACACACACUCACCUGCAUGCUGUAGACGUCAUUAUCAUAUUCACGUAACAAACACAAAACACUACAAACGAAACACACAUGAAACACUGCACACAUAACGCACAAGUAACUGCACAUGUAACACAAAACAAACCGAAAACACACGGAACACUGCACACAUAAUGCAUAUGUAAUACUGGACAUGUAACACACACUUAACACACAAAACACACAUGAAACACACAGAAAACACAACACACAUAAAACACAUGUAACACACAAAGCACUGCACACGAAACAUGGCACACAUGUAACACACACAAAGCACUGCUAAUCUUACUGACACGCUAUACUGAAAUGCUAUAAUGUUGUUGAUAGUAUUUGGAGAGUAUGCAGUGUGUUUUCAUUAUGUCACUGCGUCCACUGUCAAAACAUUACGUCAC
Molecule: long non-coding RNA, 1157 nt
Organism: Cyprinus carpio carpio
Lineage: Eukaryota; Metazoa; Chordata; Actinopteri; Cypriniformes; Cyprinidae
Source: Ensembl